Molecule: transfer RNA, 74 nt
Filed under: Myxococcales bacterium
Lineage: Bacteria; Pseudomonadati; Myxococcota; Myxococcia; Myxococcales
Also listed under: 1 other name
Description: tRNA-Gly
Rfam family: tRNA
About the family: Transfer RNA (tRNA) molecules are approximately 80 nucleotides in length. Their secondary structure includes four short double-helical elements and three loops (D, anti-codon, and T loops).
Source: RNAcentral
GCGAUCGUCGUCCAGCAGCAGGACGCCGGCCUCCCAUGCCGGAGACACGGGUGCAACUCCCGUCGAUCGCUUCA